UUAUUUUUUGACAAUUUUAUCAUGUCUUUUUAAACAAUUAAGGAAUGCAGACCUCUUUUAUUUCUUCUUUUUGAGGUUGUGAUUCUUUCUCUGUGGGUGCAGUCCCAUUAUCUUCAUCAUCUGACAAAAUUACAUAUGCUUCUUGAUCUUCAGUCUCAUCAUGUUCAUCAUGUUCUUCUACGUUUUCUUCUUUUGCAACCUGUAAACCAAAACAUCAAAACAAAUUUUUAUUUUUUGACAAUUUUAUCAUGUCUUUUUAAACAAUUAAGGAAUGCAGACCUCUGUUGUUUCUUCUUUUUGAGAUUCUGAUUCUUUCUCUGUGGGUGCAGUCCCAUUAUCUUCAUCAUCUGACAAAAUUACAUAUGCUUCUUGAUCUUCAGUCUCAUCAUGUUCAUCAUGUUCUUCUACGUUUUCUUCUUUUAAAACCUGUAAACCAAAACAUCAAAACAAAGUU
Molecule: small RNA, 454 nt
Filed under: Arabidopsis thaliana (thale cress)
Lineage: Eukaryota; Viridiplantae; Streptophyta; Magnoliopsida; Brassicales; Brassicaceae
Description: ATSL078760
Source: RNAcentral